CCUACGGGAGGCAGCAGUGAGGAAUAUUGGUCAAUGGUCGGGAGACUGAACCAGCCAAGCCGCGUGAGGGAUGAAGGUACAGAGUAUCGUAAACCUCUUUUGUCAGGGAACAAAGGCGGGGACGCGUCCCCGGAUGAGUGUACCUGAAGAAAAAGCAUCGGCUAACUCCGUGCCAGCAGCCGCGGUAAUACGGAGGAUGCGAGCGUUAUCCGGAUUUAUUGGGUUUAAAGGGUGCGCAGGCGGUCUGUUAAGUCAGCGGUAAAAGCCCGGGGCUCAACCCCGGCACGCCGUUGAAACUGGCAGUCUCGAGUUGGAGAGAGGUAUGCGGAAUGCGCGGUGUAGCGGUGAAAUGCAUAGAGAUCGCGCAGAACUCCGAUUGCGAAGGCAGCAUGCCGGCUCCACACUGACGCUGAGGCACGAAAGCGUGGGUAUCGAACAGGAUUAGAUACCCCAGUAGUC
Molecule: ribosomal RNA, 459 nt
Filed under: uncultured bacterium
Lineage: Bacteria
Description: partial 16S ribosomal RNA
Rfam family: Bacterial small subunit ribosomal RNA
Source: RNAcentral